ACAGCAGCAGCCGCGGUAAUACGUAGGUGGCAAGCGUUGUCCGGAAUUAUUGGGCGUAAAGGGCUCGCAGGCGGUUUCUUAAGUCUGAUGUGAAGGCCCCCGGCUCAACCGGGGAGGGUCAUUGGAAGCUGGGAAACUUGAGUGCAGAAGAGGAGAGUGGAAUUCCACGUGUAGCGGUGAAAUGCGUAGAGAUGUGGAGGAACACCAGUGGCGAAGGCGACUCUCUGGUCUGUAACUGACGCUGAGGAGCGAAAGCGUGGGGAGCGAACAGGAUUAGAGACCCCCGUAGUCCCUGUCUCUUAUAC
RNAcentral lists this ribosomal RNA (305 nucleotides) under uncultured bacterium. Its description in RNAcentral is "partial 16S ribosomal RNA". It matches the Rfam family "Bacterial small subunit ribosomal RNA", at positions 505 to 807 of the family's 1533-position model. The record is from RNAcentral.